RNAcentral lists this ribosomal RNA (394 nucleotides) under uncultured bacterium. RNAcentral's name for it is "bacterial SSU rRNA". It matches the Rfam family "Bacterial small subunit ribosomal RNA", at positions 32 to 415 of the family's 1533-position model. The record is from RNAcentral.
AAUCAACGCUGGCGGCGUGCCUCAGACAUGCAAGUCGAACGAUUAAACUUUCCUUCGGGAAAGAUAUAAAGUGGCGCACGGGUGAGUAACACGUAGGUAAUGUACCUUUGGGUGGGGAAUAACCAUCGGAAACGAUGGCUAAUACCGCAUAAUGCAGCGGCAUCGCAAGAUGACAGUUGUUAAAGAUUUAUCGGCCUAAAGAGCAGCCUGCGGCAGAUUAGGUAGNGGUUAAGGUAAUGGCUUACCAAGCCUGCGAUCUGUAACCGACCUGAGGAGGGUGGUCGGUCACACUGACACUGAAUAACGGGUCAGACUCCUACGGGNGGCAGCAGUCGGGGAAUUUUGGGCAAUGGGCGAAAGCCUGACCCAGCAACGCCGCGUGAAGGACGAAGUC